CUGAAAAGAGUCUGGCACCAUCCUCUUGGCAACCCUUGGAGAUAUUUAUAUGCAUUGAUGAGAUCCUUCUUGGUUUUCUCCAGACUAACCAGGCCCGGCUCCUGCAGUCUUUCCUCAGAGAGAUAUUCCAGACUCCUCAUCAUCUCUUUAGCUCAUAACCCUCUCCAGUAGCUCCUUGUAUUUCUUGUACUGCUUCUACAUCUGGAAUGUCCUUCCUGGAUGACAUCUGAUACCAACUGAUCUGCACUUUUUGUGUAAUUCUGUUAAUGGGAAAAGGCACUGAGGAACUGCAAGAAUGAAUUGGCCUCCCUGUGAGUCACGAGGUCUUACACUUAGAGAUUCAGCUGUGCAAUCAGCAUGUGAUCUCAUCAGCAUGCCAGGAGAAAUUCCCAGAGCACCUGACCCUCAACAGUUGGUUGGAAGCACCCCCAGACCGGGGUUGUUUUGUGGUGGGACGGAAUUGGCUGCGAGUCCCGGUAGAAAUGAGCUCAUCCCAAGGAGCGAGCUGUGCCUGGGGUCCCCUGACCUCUGUGGGAACAGUGUGUGUGCAGCCUGCAGAGCACUGAUUUCAUGGAGUACGUAUUUACCAGCUGCAGCCAGGAUUUAGUGCCCAGUUCUGAGUGCUGCCUGUGCUGUCACCGAGGUGAGGAGGCAUUCACAGCUGGCAGUGCCUGCAGGACUGAUGUUCAGCCUGUAACACUUUCUUCAGUUGCUUGCAACAAUUUGUUUUCACAGGGAAAUACUUAUUUCUCCAUUUUAUUCAGCGUGUAAACGUUUCAGGCACAGGGAGAAAUGUUACAUGGAGGGAUGGAGGCCAAAUGCAUCAAGAGUGGCCCUAAAAGCAAGUAAUGCCUUUAAGUGCUACCUAGUGUUGCCAUAGGAAAGCUUUUAGGUGGUGAGGUUUUUGGGAAGUAGCUUUGCAAAGGUGGUAACUGUUACCUCCCCAGGGCUCAUUAAAGCAGGAUGGUGCUCUCUUGUCUCAGGUUGUCAGGCCUGGUGUGAGGGCGGGUCAGGGAUCUGGUGUCCUGUGGGAAAGUGGCAUCCGUAGCUCAGGGAAAGCAGAGGGUGCUCUUGGCAAUAAAAGACAUGGGACAUGUAAUUAUCUAAUGAUU
Empidonax traillii (willow flycatcher) is the source of this 1112-nucleotide long non-coding RNA. RefSeq lists it as uncharacterized. The transcript has 3 exons. Lineage: Eukaryota; Metazoa; Chordata; Aves; Passeriformes; Tyrannidae. The record is from RefSeq and is a predicted model, not a curated record.